AGCUUUGCACAAUGGCAGUAUUGUAGCCAAUGAGGUUUAUCAGAGGCGUGAUUAUUGCUAAUUGAAAAAAAGA
This 73-nucleotide small nuclear RNA is filed under the name Canis lupus familiaris (dog). RNAcentral describes it as "U4 spliceosomal RNA". It matches the Rfam family "U4 spliceosomal RNA", at positions 1 to 73 of the family's 138-position model. From Rfam's summary of the family: U4 small nuclear RNA (U4 snRNA) is a component of the major U2-dependent spliceosome. The structure of U4 snRNA from yeast and human has been reported. RNAcentral also lists the same sequence under 1 other name. Lineage: Eukaryota; Metazoa; Chordata; Mammalia; Carnivora; Canidae. The record is from Rfam by way of RNAcentral.